Long non-coding RNA from Stegodyphus dumicola, 1101 nucleotides. The record is from RefSeq and is a predicted model, not a curated record. NCBI's taxonomy places the organism in Eukaryota, Metazoa, Arthropoda, Arachnida, Araneae, Eresidae.
AAACAGGACAUAUUUCCACUUUUGUUAUUACUGUAGAUUUUUUAAAUUCAAAUGCUGGAUGCGUGAAAGACGUUUUUCGUUGGGCUCCACCUUCUUUCCACAGAUAAGAAUAUUUUUUUCCUAAAUAAGAUAUCAAGAUUGCGAAAUGACAUACACACAUAUAAAUGUCAACUUACCAACUGUGCACAAGGUUUUUCUGGUGUAAAAUAAACGAACUAAGUACUAUCCAAGAGAAACACCAACAGCGAAUGCAACGACUCACAGUUCUCUCGAUCAACUGCCACAGGAAUGUCAGUAGCCGGUAUGUCCAAUUUCAACUUUCGGCGCCGACUAAGCGUUUCAGAAAUGGUUGUCUAGCAAGUUGGCGUUAAAGCACCAUAUUUGGCAACUUCUCCGAACAAAGUUACUGCUCAUGUCUGAAAUUGAAAGCGCCAGCUCAUUCCGCUUUGAUUUCCUAUUACUGAACGUUUUGUUUGGCUUAUUUCGAUUACAGCAAAGCACUCGAGGACUAUGUGCUUAAGAAGAAGGAUGCUUAAAAAAAAACUUAGUAUGUUCCCCUUUCUUAGGCACCACAGGGAAAGGAAGGAAUGCUAUGUCGAGGCCUUUUUAAGAGAAACUGGCUAGUAUACAUGGAUAAAACCACGAUAACGCUCUUUUCAAGCCCUUUCUCCUGGACUCGAACCCCGGACAGACUUACAAUGUUCAACGGCUUUUACUGCUCUGCCGCUGGUAGACCACGGAGGGCUUUUUAAAAGAGUUCAUGGGAGAUUUUCUAAGGGAUACAUAGCGGUCUUCUUAAGGGAAACAGUUUCGUAUUAUAUGCCCAUGCAGCCAGCCUGUUCGCCGAGACUCGAGCCACGGAUCGAACUACCAGUGUUCAUCAACUUUGCAGCUGGUGGGCGUCAUUACUGAUAGAGCUAAUUGCUUGGGGUUUCUGUGGAUUCCCACUCCAUGUGUAGCACAAAUUGUGGUUGGUUUUGUUAAUUCACAAGGAAGUAAUUCUAUGGAAACAACCAGACUUAUCUUACUUAGACAGCCAAACUUACAGCGCUUUGUCAUGAUUAUUUAACCAAGACAUUAAAUAACAUAAAAUACAUUUCA